GACGUGACUUCAGAGUUUGAUCCUGGCUCAGGAUGAACGCUGGCGGCGUGCUUAACACAUGCAAGUCGAACGGAGAACACUCGCUGAAGCGAGCUUGCUCAAAUCUUGAGUGUUCUUAGUGGCGGACGGGUGAGUAACGCGUGGGUAACCUGCCCUAUGCAGGGGACAACAGUUGGAAACGACUGCUAAUACCGCAUAAGCGCACAGUAUCGCAUGAUACAGUGUGAAAAGCCGAGACGGCAUAGGAUGGACCCGCGUCUGAUUAGCUAGUUGGUGAGGUAACGGCUCACCAAGGCGACGAUCAGUAGCCGGCCUGAGAGGGUGAACGGCCACAUUGGGACUGAGACACGGCCCAA
This 356-nucleotide ribosomal RNA is filed under the name uncultured bacterium. RNAcentral describes it as "bacterial SSU rRNA". It matches the Rfam family "Bacterial small subunit ribosomal RNA", at positions 1 to 334 of the family's 1533-position model. The record is from RNAcentral.